CCUACGGGCGGCAGCAGUGGGGAAUAUUGCACAAUGGGGGUAACACUGAUGCAGCGACGCCGCGUGAGUGAAGAAGUAUUUCGGUAUGUAAAGCUCUUUCAGCAGGGGAGAAAAUGACGGUACCUGAUUAAGAAGCUCCGGCUAACUACGUGACGGCAGCCGCGGUACUACGUAGGGGGCAAGCGUUAUCCGGAUUUACUGGGUGUAAAGGGAGCGUAGACGGCAGCACAAGUCUGUAGUGAAAUGCCGGGGCUUAACCCCGGAACUGCUGUGGAAACUGUGCAGCUAGAGUGCAGGAGAGGUAAGUGGAAUUCCUAGUGUAGCGGUGAAAUGCGUAGAUAUUAGGAGGAACACCAGUGGCGAAGGCGGCUUACUGGACUGUAACUGACGUUGAGGCUCGAAGGCGUGGGGAGCAAACAGGAUUAGAUACCCUUGUAGUC
This 440-nucleotide ribosomal RNA is filed under the name uncultured bacterium. RNAcentral's name for it is "partial 16S ribosomal RNA". It matches the Rfam family "Bacterial small subunit ribosomal RNA", at positions 338 to 795 of the family's 1533-position model. The record is from RNAcentral.